This is a long non-coding RNA of Hippocampus zosterae (dwarf seahorse), 504 nucleotides long. RefSeq lists it as uncharacterized. The transcript has 2 exons. Lineage: Eukaryota; Metazoa; Chordata; Actinopteri; Syngnathiformes; Syngnathidae. The record is from RefSeq and is a predicted model, not a curated record.
ACCAAAUGCCUGCGGGCCCGCCUCAACCAGCCCAGAUGCGGACAAGAAGUCAUCGCCUUGGUUACCGUUGUAGUUGCCACACAGGCCGCAAGUCCGCCCUGCCCAGCGUGUGCCCAGCUACAAAAACGUGCACCCGGCCCUUCCCAUCCCAGUCAAGACGCAGGUUAUCGCCAUACUUCAGGAGCACAGAUGACUGCACAGAUCUCUGGAUAUGCAAGCGACCUGAAAUCCAGAAUCAUCCAUGUUUGAAGUGUGUCCAUUUACUUUAACUACAAAGCCAUGUGACAUUUUUAGAAUGAAUGUAAGGAUUUUGCCUUGAUUAUUGUGUUUACUUCACCUCUCCCCCAGAGUGAGCUGGUAUGGGCUCGAGUUCACCCACUGCCCUGAUGAGGCCACGUGCAAUAGAGGAUAAUUUGUUGUUUUGAGUGUUUGUAUAACAUGUCUCACAAGUCAUUCGCCACAAUAAAAACGACAAGGCAAAAAGUUCACCAUCAUUCAUGAGAA